GAUGAAGAACGUAGCAAAAUGCGAUAAGUAAUGUGAAUUGCAGAAUUCAGUGAAUCAUCGAAUCUUUGAACGCACAUUGCGCCCGCUGGUAUUCCGGCGGGCAUGCCUGUUCAAGCGUCAUUUCAACCCUCAAGCCCCCGGGUUUGGUGUUGGGGAUCGGCUCUGCCCUUCUGGGCGGUGCCGCCCCCGAAAUACAUUGGCGGUCUCGCUGCAGCCUCCAUUGCGUAGUAGCUAACACCUCGCAACUGGAACGCGGCGCGGCCAUGCCGUAAAACCCCAACUUCUGAAUGUUGACCUCGGAUCAGGUAGGAAUACCCGCUGAACUUAAGCAUAUCAAUAAGCGGAGGA
RNAcentral lists this unclassified non-coding RNA (348 nucleotides) under soil metagenome. Its description in RNAcentral is "partial contains 5.8S ribosomal RNA, internal transcribed spacer 2, and large subunit ribosomal RNA". The stretch from base 1 to 120 matches the Rfam family "5.8S ribosomal RNA", at positions 35 to 154 of the family's 154-position model. The record is from RNAcentral.